CAUCAAUGUUGCAGGAGGAAGUGGAGCCCAAUCAGUGACCCAGCCUGACCGCCACGUCCUGGUCUCUGAAGGAGCCCCUCUGCAGCUGAGGUGCAGCUACUCAUCUUCUGUUCCUCCCUCUCUCUUCUGGUACCAGCAACGCCCCAGCCAAGGCCUCCAGCUCCUCCUGAAGUACGUGUCAGGGGCCACCCUGGUGAUAGGCAUCAAUGGUUUCCAGGCUGAACUUAGGAAGAAUGAAACUUCCUUCCACUUGAGGAAGCCCUCAGCCCAUUGGAGCGACUCGGCUGAGUACUUCUGUGUUCUGGGUGACAGAGUGUCUGGGGCUACAGGGGGAGCUGAGCACAAACCUCCUGACACAAGGGACUUUCUGUGA
Molecule: non-coding RNA, 373 nt
Organism: Marmota flaviventris (yellow-bellied marmot)
Lineage: Eukaryota; Metazoa; Chordata; Mammalia; Rodentia; Sciuridae
Source: the annotation of a RefSeq genome assembly